GACGAACGCUGGCGGCGUGCCUAAUACAUGCAAGUAGAACGCUGAAGGAGGAGCUUGCUUCUCUGGAUGAGUUGCGAACGGGUGAGUAACGCGUAGGUAACCUGCCUGGUAGCGGGGGAUAACUAUUGGAAACGAUAGCUAAUACCGCAUAAGAGUAGAUGUUGCAUGACAUUUGCUUAAAAGGUGCAAUUGCAUCACUACCAGAUGGACCUGCGUUGUAUUAGCUAGUUGGUGGGGUAACGGCUCACCAAGGCGACGAUACAUAGCCGACCUGAGAGGGUGAUCGGCCACACUGAGACUGAGACACGGCCCAGACUCCUACGGGAGGCAGCAGUAGGGAAUCUUCGGCAAUGGACGGAAGUCUGACCGAGCAACGCCGCGUGAGUGAAGAAGGUUUUCGGAUCGUAAAGCUCUGUUGUAAGAGAAGAACGAGUGUGAGAGUGGAAAGUUCACACUGUGACGGUAUCUUACCAGAAAGGGACGGCUAACUACGUG
RNAcentral lists this ribosomal RNA (495 nucleotides) under uncultured bacterium. RNAcentral's name for it is "partial 16S ribosomal RNA". It matches the Rfam family "Bacterial small subunit ribosomal RNA", at positions 28 to 507 of the family's 1533-position model. The record is from RNAcentral.